Molecule: long non-coding RNA, 542 nt
Organism: Aedes aegypti (yellow fever mosquito)
Lineage: Eukaryota; Metazoa; Arthropoda; Insecta; Diptera; Culicidae
Exons: 2
Source: RefSeq, a predicted model, not a curated record
UGUUUAUUGAUAAAAUCUAUAUUUUUUCAGCUUGCCAUCUAAAGAUGAUACUGUUUGCUACUAUAAAUGGUUCUCUUGAGCGGCUUUUACAUUGAGAGAAGGUGAAAAUCAUAAGUUCCGGAUUAAGGCCUGCUUGUUCAGCGAUUUGAAUCUGCAGAAAGAUGAUGGAUUGCUACGCAUGAAAACGGUAUCUUGGAAAAAUCGUCCAGGAAUUCAGCAUUUAGAUUUCCUUCUGGACCCAACUACAACAUAAUGAAGUGACCAAUGCGAGCUGUCAAUGAUCAAGUAUUAUAUAUUUAUUACGAAAUAUGCGUACAAAGUUUAUGAAAAUAAAAUUUGAAUAAACAGAUUUUUGAAGAAUCAAUUUAUCAUAAUUAUUAAUAAGACUCCACAUAACUCAUAUAACCAGUACAAAUCGUACGCAUAUGAGCUUCAUAUAUAUUUAAUAACUUUUUUCCGACAAGCAAAAUCAUUUUGUAUAGAAAAUGCUUAUGAAAUUAUCGUCACUAUCCGUACAUAAAAACUGAAUGUUUUCAAUAUAA